AUUGUUUAGUUGCUACUUUAGAGCCUGUUUCAUUUUUUAUUAAUUUUAUCAAAGGAUGAUGUUGAUGAUGAAAUGUCUUACAAUGAUCAUUUAGAGGUUUAUUUUGAACGACUGGCAAUUCCAGGAAUGAUGGAAUAAAACAUAUGAAGUAGAAGGACUGGAACCUACAGAAAAAAUACUUUAAGUUACCUACAAGUGAUCCUAGUCAGGUAUGAAUUGAUAAGAAAUGCCUGCACCUUACCUCCUUCCUAUCUUUCUCUUGCCUACAGAAAAUUAAAAGGCAAAGACAAUGGACAUCUACAUAUUCUUUAUUCAGAUCAACCAGUGGCUAGCAUUUGCCACCUUGCAUUUUCUUUCUCUUUCCGCAAAUGAAAACGGUAGCCUAAAGUGUUAGUUUCAACCAGAAAAUAACAGCUCUGAUUUCUCAUGACUCACACUCUUCUGAAAAGAUUCAGGAAGAGGCUUAGGAAGGCCAUGUUGUCUGUCUUCCUGAGACUACACCUACUGAAAGAAGUUCUCAAGUUCUGAUUGAGUUCUAAAAGGUUUAGAAGAUUGGAAUUCUUCAUAGUCAGAUCUAAGAUUCGUAGUUGAAAGGAUUUCCCCACUCAGUACUUUGAAUUAAUCAACCCUACUGCCUUCCGGCCUCCAAGGUUUCUGGGCACCAUGGCCCGGCACUGUCACAUUUUCCAAGGAACCUGCUGGAGCUCCUGUGGAAGCUUCUCCUUGGGCCGAUGAAGUCCCUUAGCUGGUAGGCCCUUCUUUAGUCACCACAGGAUGCCUGCCAUUCAUGAACAGGAAGGAGAGGAUGGGCUUUGAAUAAAAAACAGGAUCUGGAAAAUAUUUGUGAGGCCACUUGGACUUCAGUGUGAAAUAAACAUUUUCUGGCUUUCGGAGGUGUCCCUCUUGGUGGAACACAAUGUCCCCUCCUUAGGAAUCUUUCUUUGAUCCUUGAAGCUUGGUAACAACAUUAAAUAUGUAUAUCCCGGCCCGGAGCAGUGGCUCAUGCAUGUAAUUUCAGCACUUUGGGAGGCCGAGGAAGGUGGAUCCCCUGAGGUCAGGAGUUUGCCUGGCCAACAUGGUGAAACCCCGUCUUUACUAAAAAUAAAAAAAGUUAGCCAGGCGUGAUGGCUAGCACCUGUAAUCCCACCUACAUGGGAGGCUGAGGCAUGAGAAUCGCUUGAACCUUGGAGGCAGAGGUUGCAGUGAACUGAGGUCAUGCCACCGCACUCUGGCCUGGGCAACAAGAGUGAAACUUUGUCUCAA
Long non-coding RNA from Pongo pygmaeus (Bornean orangutan), 1263 nucleotides. RefSeq lists it as uncharacterized. The record is from RefSeq and is a predicted model, not a curated record. NCBI's taxonomy places the organism in Eukaryota, Metazoa, Chordata, Mammalia, Primates, Hominidae. The transcript is spliced from 8 exons.